AUGACGCCACGCUCCGCCGGGGCUCCUUCACCGUCCGCGGCUCCUUCAGGCUCUGCACCUUGCCGACUCCCCCUUCGUCACGGCCUCUCGUCCAUGCUAGAGGCAGCCACGUCCUCGAUGGUUGCUGCUGGAUUCUACCCCUCCAAGUUGCUCGGACGCCUCCCCAACUCUCCAUCCUCCCCAACAAGGUCGCUGCCAUCACCAAAAGCUAGGAUGAAGGCCAGGAAGCCCUACACCAUCACGCCCGGGAGAUCUGGACCGAGCCCGAGCACGACAAGUUCCUCGAGGCGCUGCAGCUGUGAGUCGCCCCCUGCCCCCCAAUCCCCGCCCUACUCUUCGGUAACUGAUGGUGUCGAUAAAAGCAACAUCGGCCACUUGUGGUGGUCCGAAGGCCUCCGGGCGCCGCAGCACCACGCUGUCCUGACGCCGACCCAGUCGCAAACGGCGGCCAUCUCUGGGAACCAGGCUCCCAAAACCGAGUCAAACUCCGACAGCGAGUCAUUGGUCGAGACAGGGGGCGGCCGAUGCAAGCGAAGCGGCGAAUCAUCAGAUACCAGGUUUAUAAGAAGCAUAUCGCCUUGGUCAAAUUCGGCCGCCCUCCUCGAUUCCAUUUACCCGCUGCGGCGCCCGACUACUCCACCCACGUAUGAUGAUGGCGUGCCUGGUCAAAUCAAUUAUUUUUUCUGGGUAUAA
Molecule: ribosomal RNA, 693 nt
Filed under: Triticum aestivum (bread wheat)
Lineage: Eukaryota; Viridiplantae; Streptophyta; Magnoliopsida; Poales; Poaceae
Description: partial small subunit ribosomal RNA
Source: RNAcentral